CCAAAAAACAUCUUUCUCCCAUGGCCAUACUCAUUGAGCUGAAACCAUAAGCUAGAUCAUAUAAUCUGUGACUUGCUUCCUGUUGGGCUUCUGAACUAUAUCCUAGAAGUCUUGUCAUUCUGCUAUAUAUUUGGCAAUAUAACCAGGAUCAGGGAUGAGAUUGAAGCAAGAGUAUGGGAUACUAUAACAGCAUGGGUUUGCUUAGAGGUUCAUAGUGAAAGUGACCCUAUUUAUAUGAUUGCCCUGAGAUCCACAUCUGCUCUCUUCCUUUCUGUCAGUAACAGUUAGUACUUCCUAUUUCUAUGCCUAUGCUUCUUCACCAAAUUAUUCAGUGAAGAUGAAGUCUUGCAACUCAUUGGAUCUUAAUAUAUCAGCCAUACACACCAAACUCUGAGGUAUCUAGUCACACAUAUGAUGGCUGUCUCUCUCUUGCUGGCAACCCACAGAUAUUUUAGUUGCUGUUGAAUACCACUUACCCUAAGUCAAGGACUUUGCAGUUUCCCAUGCUCUGCCAGCCAGAAGAUGCACAAAAAGCCAGGAGGGAGCACUGCCAGAGCACCUGACCCAAACUGGCCAAAGGGAUAUUCCAUACCAUGUGCAUGAACUCAGGGGAAGAGGCCUUAGAGCUGCUGAGGAAUGGGAUGGGCAUCAGUCUGCAGCUGCUGAGCAGUUGUACUGGGCAUCUCUUGUUUCUCUUACAUUUUAGUCCUCUCUUUCUUUUAAUUAUUAUUAUUUUGCUUUCUUUCAGUUAUUAUACUGUUCUUAUCACAGGCUGUGGGUUUUACCUUUUUGUGAUUCUCCUCCCUAUCCCCUUGGAGAGUGUGCUUGAGUAAGAGGCUAAAGGGUAUUUAAUUGCAAGCAGGGGUUAAACCAGGACAUGCCCAUACAGAAAAUAAGCCUGAAAGCAUGGCUUGAAGUAUAGCCAUAGGGAAUUCUAUAAAGUUCAUGAAGCUGUGUGUGUCUGUUUGAUGAUGUAGUGUACAGGGAGACUCUUCAGAGCAGGCUGCCAUAUAGACAGGGGGCAUGCUGUGAUCCCAGCUGCUACGAAGGCUGCUCACUAGAAGCAAUCCAGGCAUGACCAGUAGGAAUUGGCACUGCUCUUCUGUGUGGCAGAAGUCUUUUUUCUCCCUGUGGGCUAAGUUUCCCUCCACCUCCGUAUUUUCACAUUACCUAUAACGUUGAAGAACGAGGCAUCUGCAAACAUUUCAAAACUUUAUCUAAGUAUAUAAUGGGAAGUGAUUUAAUAUAACCUACAGGCCCAGCUGGCAUUGAAUCUUUAGACACAUGAACACGCCUAGAAAUGUGUCCCUUGGGAACUUUUGGCUACUUUUCUGCAUGCAAAGAAACACACACAUACAUAUAUAUGUAUGUUCACUAGGUGCUUCUAGAUGUUCACUAGGUGCUUUAGCCACCACUAGGUGGGAUAGGGAGAGAAGAUAGGGAGAACUAAUAGUUUCAGGCAGGCAGUACCAAGUGGGCAGACCUUCUUCUCAGCGUGGGGAGAUGCUUUUUCCAUGCUUUGAUGGGAAAGGAAGAAAAAAACAGCAUCUGCUCCCACACUGUGGAAAGAAAAUACUAAGCAAAGAGCAAAGAUAUGUCUUACCUAAACAAAUUAUAGGUUAGUUUCUCAUAUGGAUAAUAGCGUUGUUCACAUUUUAUACCUUGCACUAGAUUUUGUUUCAAAGUGAAAAGGUAAAUUAAUUAGUACCCCUGCAGCUAUGACACUUUUAACCAAAGUUGAAGUUAAUUUGGAAAUUCUUAGGGCACUUGAAAAUAAACAAACAAACAAACAAAUAAAUAAAUAAUUGCUUUUGAGAUACAUAUCCAUUAGCUGAGGGGUCUGCAUCUGCAAGACUUUCUCAUUAUUAUGUGGCUGCCCUUGGGAAUCUUUCCUUGGGCAAGAGAAGCUAGGAAGACAUUGUGGUAGUAAAACAGGUAAUAAAAAAUAUUUUGUUGGUGCUCAGUAUUUCAAGAAAUGAAAUUGCAUAUACAUUAGAGAACUGGACAGUUUUAGACUACAGAAGCGUUUGGAAUGCUCAGCCCUAGGUUGCACUAAACUAUCAUCUCCCUCUAUUGCAUGCUGUCUAGAUGUAUACAUGAAGACAUCUCAGUACCUGUUCUUUAAAUGUACAGAUUCAAUAUAAAUGGAAUUACAGAAUCAUAGAAUACUUUGGGUUGAAAGUCACCAUUAAAGGUCAUCUACUUCAACCUCCUUGCCAUGGGAGGGUACACUUACCUCUAGAGCAGGUUCCUCAGACCCCAUCCAACCUGAUUCUGAAUAUUCUCAGGGUUGAGGUAUCCAUCACCUACUACUUGCAUCAGUGUCUUAAUGCUGUGAUGCAUUAGUUACCUUUUAAUGUAGACAUAGGUAGGUAAACUUUCCCCUCCAUUUGAUAUGGCAAGUGGCAAACCUUAUCUUAACACACCUUAAUAUUCCAUUUACAAAAAUAUGUAGUGAGUAAGUAGGAAUUGACUAACAAGCUAAUAUGGAAAUGUGUAUGUGUGUGUUGUAUCAUCAUUUCAUAUAUAUAAACUAUAUAUGAGGAGUGACAUUGAAGGUUGUAAUCUACUCAAAUUGGCUAAAUGAGGUUAGUGCUUUCUUAACACUGACACAAAGCAGCCUCUGUCCAAAUUAUUUUAAACUUACUGAAACAUGAAAUUUGGUCUUAAACCAUCAGUUGGCAUAGACAUGAGUCCUUCUCAACUCUUGAGCUGCACCUGGAAAUGUUUUAGGAGAGCAAUAGGGGUCAUUUAAAAACCUUGAAUUAGAAAUAACUGGAUUUCUGUGCAUAGAAAUAUUCCCUGGUGCUUUAAUUUACUACUGUGCAUGUUAUCAAAGAAAUGGUUGAUUUACUGAAAUUGAGUGUACUGAUAACUACGUAGGAAGCAUGUGACCAUGUACUUUAUGCUGUACAACAGUUCCAAAUGGCAAGCAAUUCAUCCUUUCCAUUAGUUAGCAAUCAGAAUUUCUGGUGCUAGAACACUUCCCUUUGGCGUAUAUGAGUACAUAUUUAAAAAAAGAAAAGAGGAAAGCCAUUAGGAAAUCCUUGCUGGCUGUUGUCCAUACCUUAUUUUAGCUUGUUCAGCAGCACAUAAGAUAAAAUUUCUUCACUCCAGCAUAAGUUUUCCCAUUAGCAAAUUAAGAGGAAGAAAUGGGUAGGUAAUGAAAAAUGCUUGGUUUGAAAUGUUCAGAAAUGAAGUCCAGCAUGACAUGUAAUAGCAUUAGCUUGUCACAGAUUUAUAUGGCAUAUUGAUUAGCUAAUGGCAAUACAAAAGAAAAAAUUAGGAUGCUUCAGACAGUCUGUGAUGUCUGUGCCAGAGAUACUGUGAUCCACUACUGAUUUGUGAGAUCCUAAGAAGGAGGACAUGAUAACACUAAUAAAUCCACAGUGAAGAAAAAACUCUCAUAUCCUGACACUAAUUUUACCCCGCUCUUUAUGGAAAUAUAUGCUGGAGAAAAGAAAAUGUUUUAUGGAAGAAGACUUGUAUGAGCAAGGGGAUGAGUUAUCAGGACUGCUUCUGGAUUAUAAGCAUAUGAAAUUCUGUAAUAUUUCCAUUUGUCUGAAUUUUAGAAACACGAAACAGCAACUAUUUGUUGGUACCCUGAGAAGAAUGAAACAUUUCUUGGUAAUCCACUUGAGUCUAGAGAAGACAGCUGUAUAUUUAUGGCAGUAAUAGUUUCUGGAGUACUUUGUUAAUUUGGAUUACAGGAUUCAUUCUCCCAGUUUAUGUUUUAGUUCUGUGGCACUUUUCUGAUACAAUAUACAGGAUAUAUAUAUGGGAUUUAUGCUACAACUAUAUGAAGGCAUUUAGGGAUUGCCUUAAGAGGUUAAUAUGCAAUAAACUUACAUAGGGGUGGCUGACCUUCCUGACCUUGCACACUACUCAUCAGAAACUUCCUAUGCUGAAGAGCUGUGAGAUUCAUGUCAUAUCUUGGACUAAUGAGGAAAAAUGGAGCUUUCAGGGGAGUUCACAGGUAGGAGGUGCUAGAGUAGAACAAGCCAGGAAUGGCUUUCCAGCAUUUACUUAUUUGUUUCUUCUACAGCUGGGGAUCUCUACUGCCUGUUUCCAGCAUGACCUCACUCCUAGCUGUGCUCAUAGCCUCUAUAUAGGGGCAUCACUACUUGAGAAUAAAGUGAGGGCCAAAGGCUGACUGUAGUAUAAGAAAACUUCCUGAUUUCAUACCUGAAAAACCAGAUAAAAUUCCAGACUUUUCUGUAUUUAGUCCUGUUCAGAACUUUACAGAAAAUUAUUUAUUAUAUAGAGGAAAAUUUAAAGUUACCAGCUACUCUGAUUUCUGACUUUUAAGUCUAACCAUACUUCCUCCAGUGGCUUUGCAGAAAAACCCAAAACCUUCUAAUGCAGGAUCAGAAACUGAUCCUUAUAGUGGAUAUGAAUGCAGGGGAAACCUUGUUUUUUAUUCUCCUUUGACCUGUAGAAAAGGCAGUGAAUUAUUCCUGGUGUGGAAACAGCACCACUAUAUUUCUUCUGCCAAAGUGCUCUAGCAACCACAGACUAACAGAAGAUUAGCAGUCUUCUUUAGCUAACCUGUAUGUGAAAGCUGUAUAACCUGCUGUGGCCAUUUCACAGCUCCUCUGGAAAUAAUUCUUAAAGAUACUCAAAAGCAAUUUUAAAUAUGGUUUGCGUAAGAAAUUUUUAUUUCCUCUUAUAUUUAAAAUCUCUAUCAGGAAAUGAGACUAUUUCUGUUUAAAUCCCCUAGAAAAGCAAUUCUGUCCUCAUUAUCCAAGCCACCAGUCCAGAGAGAAAGGGUAGAAACAAGAAACAAAUUACCACAUUGACACCCAGAUCUUUCCUAUUUUGUCUUGACAGCAUUUCAUUUAUAUGAUGGUGUAUUUUUCCCUUGCAGCUAUUGCCUCCUGUUACUCUUUAAGGUAAUUGAAGCUGGGCCCAAAAGACCUUAGAGGCUUGUAUCUUCUCCUCACAUUAGUGACACUUCAGUGAUAAACUUGAACUUAAAGUUACUGAGGCGUAACUGAGGGUUCAUUUGAUAGCUAGUGGUUUUCAGCAGCACUGCAGGGCUUCAGAGGCUCAGCGUGAGCGAGAUUGUUAAUGUCCUGUGAGGGAAAACAAUAACACAUUUCAUUAAUGCGUUCAUGUGUGAAGCAUCCAUUAGUGCACUGGAGGUAUUAAUGACGUUAUGCUUUAAACUGACAUGUGGGGCAUGACAGGAAUUGCAAGGUCUGAUGAGAACAGAUGACAAGAUAAGCAAAUAUUUGAAUGGCUUCAUUUGCCUGCAGGUCAAACCAUGGUGCAGGGGAACUGAGAAAGCUAAAACCUGGGAGAGAUUAGUGUUUUCCUAGCACGGACUGAACCACAGGAAAACUUAAGAAAGAUAGUUUACUAAAUAAAUAGAGAGGUCAGUAAGGACAAUAAAUAUGUAAAGGGUACAAGCUUAAUUAUUGUUGAGUCUCAGUUUGUAAUUGGAGUGAAAUUGCUAAAGCCAUGGCCACAAUACAAGGUAUAGAUAUACAGAAAAAUACUUUGAUUUUAUGGAUAGUCUUUUAAUUUUCAGUAAUGCCCCUCUUUCUGCCUGAUGUGAAGGUUUAAAAUUUAUAGCCAAAAAAGCUGCUGACCAUUGCAAAAGAACCAUUGUACAUUGUGCCAGAAAUGAGUUUGGCAAUGAGAUUUUAAUAAACUAGUUUUUCUGCAGGCAAGCCAAAGUUGUUAGAGUGGUUAAGAUUAUUAUUCUUCUCUCAUUAUUAUGCACAUUCUUUAUUUGUCAGGUUUGAACUACUUGUGAAUUAGCAGAUAAAGGUCUGUUUCUGUUUUGGACCUGUGUUGGAUUGUUGCAGGAGGCUCACAGUGCGAUGGAUUUGACAGCUGCAACUCAGCCAUUAGAUGACAGCAGUGCACAUCUCAGUGCCAUCCAGCAUAAUUUAACAUGAACAAUCUGACAUGCUUGGCAGAUCCUUGAAGAAGGGGGAGGAAAAGGCCACUCCUUUGCUACCUCUGAUUCGGAAUGAUUUCGUACAGUCAGACUUUUCAGAAGUAGUAACACUCACUAGCUGGCUAAUGCAAUGAGGCUGCUGCAUCAUGACUUUUGUCAUGCCUUAUCUAGUGGAAGAUAAAGAAGUGACAGUGGAAGAAUCUGAGUAGCCAUAAACCUACAUGGAAAGUAGAUUAGGAGUUAUUACAGGCAUGCAGACUAUGCUCUACACUUUAUGCACUGAGAGAACUGAUCUACAGAACCUAAAUCUGAAAGUUUUUUCUGCAUGACUGCAGAGGCAGCUCUGUGCCUCUCUAGUUCGAGGGAUGAGGUCCAUGGAGGAGGAAUUCAGAAAAAAUGAGACUUUUCCAGAGAUCACAUUGAGAAGAAGUGGAUGUCAGACAACUGUGAACUGGCUGAAAGUGAUGGGAGAAUAUCCUUAUCCUUCCUACAGUGAUUUGACUAUAUGACAAGUCCAUUCUUCCAAACAUCUUGAGAAAUUGUGACUCUGUGGUGUAAAAAUUAAUUCGGGACACUGGUCACAGUGAGACUACAAAUAAACUGUAACACCAAACAUGGGGUUCAUCCAUGUAGAAGUUUUUAUUGACUUUUUCUUCACUGUUCAUAUUUGAGUGUCACUUUCAUUAGAAUGGGCAAGCUUGUGUUUUCUUAGAGUGUUUGAGUUUUCAAGCUACUGCAGGCGUCUUCCCAGGGAACUCUUGGAAAAUGCUAAAUACCUAAAAGAAUCUAAUUUGAGUAGCAGGUGAUCUGCAGCAUAAAUUUGUUCCAAACAGCUGAGCGCUAGGAAUCACUCUGUUUUAAUAUCUGAUGCAAACUUUUGUAUAAACAACUGCUGAGUUACAAUUAGUGACAAGACAGAGUUUGUCUUAAUAUGGAUACUUUGUAUUUUGCUUGAUCUUAUCCACAAAUUUUAGUCUUUCUUUGCUGGCAAAUGAUUCAAGAUUUUGGAAAAUAGGCACAAAAGAAGGAGAAGAAUGGGGUGGCUAAGCUGCCUGGCAGUUUUUGUCUGAGGCAGUUUAAUGAGAGAAAGUGUCUGAAAUGUAGUCCAAGAAGAGAAUGAAGAUACAGAGUUUAAAUCUGGUGAAAGGAGAAACAUCUGAAGAAGAAGGCAAUGGGUAAACAAGCUAACAAACAAAUAACUGUUUAACAGACAGCACCUUAAGGGUUUGCACUUUUAAAAAAUUGCUGUAUUUUCUUGUUGUACUACAUGCUGUGACUUUAUCACAAAUUGUUUGGCAAUAAAAUUACAGUGUUUGUGAUUACUUUUCUUAGAUAUCUUCUAGGAAAAACUUGUAGUUUUACAGUCUGUGGAAUGAUAUAAUUGCUUACCCUGCUAUUCCAUAGUAUAUUUUCACUGACAAACAUAAUGAUAAAUCAGUAAUUUCUGGCAUAUUUCAUUUAGACACUAAUUGCCAUUCUAACUCAUUAUUGGUAUUAAUGAUCCAGCAACUCUAACUGUUAAGGGAUGAACAAGGCUGUAAUCAUGGUCCAUAAGCUUGCUACACUUUCAAUAGAUUUGAAUGAGAAUUAGAAUAUGUGUGCAAAUUGGUGGGUAAAAGGGAUGGGAGUCUUUCAGCCUUGUUAAAUCAAUACAUUUUAUUGGAAAUCAGUGUUAAUUUGGAGGGGUGUUUUCAUUAGCAGCUGAGCAGUAUCCUUGGCUCAGGCACCAGGUGUCAGUCUUGGUGCUGGUAAAGAGGAGAGAGCCUUAAAAAGAUCUUGUGUGGCUGGAUUAGUGAUUCUUUCCCAAAGAGUUUCUAUAAUGCUUAGCAAUGCGUAGGAGGAAAAAAAAAAAAAAAA
This is a long non-coding RNA of Passer domesticus (house sparrow), 7765 nucleotides long. RefSeq lists it as uncharacterized. Lineage: Eukaryota; Metazoa; Chordata; Aves; Passeriformes; Passeridae. The record is from RefSeq and is a predicted model, not a curated record. The transcript has 4 exons.